This 1135-nucleotide ribosomal RNA is filed under the name Bacteroides ovatus. Its description in RNAcentral is "partial 16S ribosomal RNA". The record is from RNAcentral. Lineage: Bacteria; Pseudomonadati; Bacteroidota; Bacteroidia; Bacteroidales; Bacteroidaceae.
UUUGGGAUUAGCAUCCUGUCACCAGGUAGCCGCCUUCUGUACCCCCCAUUGUAACACGUGUGUAGCCCCGGACGUAAGGGCCGUGCUGAUUUGACGUCAUCCCCACCUUCCUCACAUCUUACGACGGCAGUCUCUCUAGAGUCCUCAGCAUAACCUGUUAGUAACUAAAGAUAAGGGUUGCGCUCGUUAUGGCACUUAAGCCGACACCUCACGGCACGAGCUGACGACAACCAUGCAGCACCUUCACAACAGCCUUACGGCUAUACUGUUUCCAAUAUAUUCUGUUGCAAUUUAAGCCCGGGUAAGGUUCCUCGCGUAUCAUCGAAUUAAACCACAUGUUCCUCCGCUUGUGCGGGCCCCCGUCAAUUCCUUUGAGUUUCACCGUUGCCGGCGUACUCCCCAGGUGGAAUACUUAAUGCUUUCGCUUGGCCGCUUACUGUAUAUCGCAAACAGCGAGUAUUCAUCGUUUACUGUGUGGACUACCAGGGUAUCUAAUCCUGUUUGAUACCCACACUUUCGAGCAUCAGUGUCAGURACAGUCUAGUGAGCUGCCUUCGCAAUCGGAGUUCUUCGUGAUAUCUAAGCAUUUCACCGCUACACCACGAAUUCCGCCCACCUCUACUGUACUCAAGACUGCCAGUUUCAACUGCAAUUUUACGGUUGAGCCGCAAACUUUCACAACUGACUUAACAAUCCACCUACGCUCCCUUUAAACCCAAUAAAUCCGGAUAACGCUCGGAUCCUCCGUAUUACCGCGGCUGCUGGCACGGAGUUAGCCGAUCCUUAUUCAUAUGGUACAUACAAAAUUCCACACGUGGAAAACUUUAUUCCCAUAUAAAAGAAGUUUACGACCCAUAGAGCCUUCAUCCUUCACGCUACUUGGCUGGUUCAGGCUCUCGCCCAUUGACCAAUAUUCCUCACUGCUGCCUCCCGUAGGAGUUUGGACCGUGUCUCAGUUCCAAUGUGGGGGACCUUCCUCUCAGAACCCCUAUCCAUCGUAGUCUUGGUGGGCCGUUACCCCGCCAACAAACUAAUGGAACGCAUCCCCAUCGAUAACCGAAAUUCUUUAAUAAAAAUAUCAUGCGAUAUUCGUAUNCNAUCCGGUAUUAAUCUUUCUUUCGAAAGGCUAUUCCNG